UGAUCAGGGGAGUUCUCAACACUCAGUGCUC
RNAcentral lists this non-coding RNA (31 nucleotides) under Mus musculus (house mouse). Lineage: Eukaryota; Metazoa; Chordata; Mammalia; Rodentia; Muridae. The record is from RNAcentral.